RNAcentral lists this long non-coding RNA (301 nucleotides) under Gallus gallus (chicken). Its description in RNAcentral is "lncRNA (ENSGALG00010003055.1)". Lineage: Eukaryota; Metazoa; Chordata; Aves; Galliformes; Phasianidae. The record is from RNAcentral.
GGAGGAUUCCCAGACGCAAGAAGAUGGAGCUGGACAGCAGAAGAGCUCACGCCACACGCAGCGCUCUCAUCCUCGCCCACGGCAGCUUGGCACUGCGUGCCUCCAAGGAACAGCUGCUCGCCCGCCUGGAGGGAGACAUCGUGGGCAACAUCCUGCUGCUCUACAGCUGCAGCUGCCGGGACCUGCAGAACACGCUUGCGCUGCUGCAGAGCAUCACCGACUUCAGCUCUGCCUUCCAAGCUGUGGGUGACUCGGCCUGCUUUAACCCCUCCUUGAAGGGCAAGCUGCUGGAGAUCCUGAC